RNAcentral lists this unclassified non-coding RNA (696 nucleotides) under Hevea brasiliensis (rubber tree). Lineage: Eukaryota; Viridiplantae; Streptophyta; Magnoliopsida; Malpighiales; Euphorbiaceae. The record is from RNAcentral.
GCAAAACCUCCAAGUCCAGAAUUCAUGUCCAUGAUAUUACGGUACCUUCCUGUGUCUAUGAGUUUGUUAAUUUUCUUAUAAGCACUAACAUGCUUCUUCCAUUUCCUGUUGUCUUCCAGAUAUGCCUCAACGGGGACUCCAGAAACUAGUCCAUUAGCAAUUCUUGGAGGAACAGCAAAAAGUCUCUCAGGGAAUGGUUUUAGACCUUCAUCAUCACCAUUGCCUUUGCUUGGUGUUAUGCAUGCUUCCAUUUUGUUGUACCAGACAUCAUCUGGAUCUGUCGAUUUACAAAGUGUAGCUUCAGACUCUUCUUGCGUAGAACGGCAUGAGUCGGCAUCCAUCCUUUUCUGCCAAAUAGCAGUCUCACCCUUCUCAGAUUUCUUCUCCCAGCAAAGAAGUUUGGCAAUCUCUUCAAUUUUCCUUUGUUCUUCCUGAAGGUCCUCCAUGGGGCGUUGCCAGGCCUUGUAAUUAGUCUUCCAAUUGAUCGGAGGGCCAGAAAGCACCCAGUAGCCACCAGGUCGAAGAACUCUAUCAACUUCCAUCAUGAGGAUUCCAUCAGCAGCUCCCCAUGGGAUUAGACAGCGAGAACAAUGAGCCAUAUCAAAGGCCCUAGAUGGAUAUGGCAUUUUGACUGUUCCUAGGACGCCAAUUACAGCAGGUACACCCCUUUCAAGAGCAAACUGAACUUGAGCUUCA